AGUGGCAACGGGUGAGUAAUACAUGAGAAUUUACCUUUUGGAAGGGGAUAGUUUUUGGAAACGAAAAGUAAUACCCUAUAAUCUCUUUAGAUUGGUUUUUAAAGAGCAAAGAUUUAUCGCCAUUAGAGAAGCUCAUGCCCGAUUAGGUAGUUGGUAGGGUAAAAGCCUACCAAGCCUUUGAUCGGUAGUUGGUCUUAGAGGAUGAUCAGCCACACUGGGAUUGAGAUACGGCCCAGACUCCUACGGGAGGCAGCAGUGGGGAAUAUUGGACAAUGGGGGGAACCCUGAUCCAGCGAUGCCGCGUGAAUGAUGAAGGUUUUUAUAAAUUGUAAAAUUCUUUUACUCAUGAAGAUAAUGACGGUAAUGAGAGAAAAAGCUCCGGCAAACUUCGUGCCAGCAGCCGCGGUAAUACGAGGGGAGCGAGCGUUGUUCGGAUUGACUGGGCGUAAAGGGUGCGUAGGCUGUUUUUUAAGUGAGAUGUGAAAGCCCUGGGCUUAACUCAGGAAGUGCAUUUCAUACUGGAAAACUAGAGAUCAGAAGAGGAAAUGGGAAUUCCUGGUGUAGAGGUGAAAUUCGUUGAUACCAGGAGGAACACCAAAGGCGAAGGCAAAUUUCUGGGCUGAAUCUGACGUUGAGGCACGAAAGCGUGGGUAGCAAACAGGAUUAGAUACCCUGGUAGUCCACGCCCUAAACGAUGAGUGCUAGAUAUUGGGCAUAUAUGAUGUUCGGUGUCAUAGCUAACGCAUUAAGCACUCCGCCUGGGGAGUACGGUCGCAAGACUAAAACUCAAAGGAAUUGACGGGGGCCCGCACAAGCGGUGGAGCAUGUGGUUUAAUUCGAUGUUCCGCGAAAAACCUUACCAGCUUUUGACAUGCAAGUUUUGAAUGAAUGAAAGUUCGUUCUUCAGUUUGGCUGGACUUGUACAGGUGCUGCAUGGCUGUCGUCAGCUCGUGUCGUGAGAUGUUGGGUUAAGUCCCGCAACGAGCGCAACCCUUGUCGUUAUUUGCCAAUAGAUUUAUUUCUAGGAACUUUAACGAGACUGCCGAUGUUGAGUCGGAGGAAGGUGAGGAUGACGUCAA
Molecule: ribosomal RNA, 1079 nt
Filed under: Candidatus Cytomitobacter primus
Lineage: Bacteria; Pseudomonadati; Pseudomonadota; Alphaproteobacteria; Holosporales; Holosporaceae
Description: bacterial SSU rRNA
Rfam family: Bacterial small subunit ribosomal RNA
Source: RNAcentral